UACAGAGGGGGCAAGCGUUGUUCGGAAUUACUGGGCGUAAAGGGCGCGUAGGCGGCCUUCUAAGUCGAACGUGAAAUCCCUGGGCUCAACCCAGGAACUGCGUCCGAUACUGGAAGGCUUGAAUCCGGGAGAGGGAUGCGGAAUUCCAGGUGUAGCGGUGAAAUGCGUAGAUAUCUGGAGGAACACCGGUGGCGAAGGCGGCAUCCUGGACCGGCAUUGACGCUGAGGCGCGAAAGCCAGGGGAGCAAACAGG
RNAcentral lists this ribosomal RNA (253 nucleotides) under uncultured bacterium. Its description in RNAcentral is "partial 16S ribosomal RNA". It matches the Rfam family "Bacterial small subunit ribosomal RNA", at positions 524 to 776 of the family's 1533-position model. The record is from RNAcentral.